UCCAAGAAAGGCUUCAAGAAAGCGGUCACC
This 30-nucleotide non-coding RNA is filed under the name Mus musculus (house mouse). The record is from RNAcentral. Lineage: Eukaryota; Metazoa; Chordata; Mammalia; Rodentia; Muridae.